This is a long non-coding RNA of Tetranychus urticae (two-spotted spider mite), 2134 nucleotides long. RefSeq lists it as uncharacterized. The record is from RefSeq and is a predicted model, not a curated record. Lineage: Eukaryota; Metazoa; Arthropoda; Arachnida; Trombidiformes; Tetranychidae.
UCGUCGACCUCGCUAAAGUUAAAGUUUCAAGAAAAUGAUUGAUAUCAAUAAAAAACAGUUUUAAAUAAACGUAAAUAUGUCUUGAACACCUAAACAUAAAGUAAAUUGUUCAAUCGUUAAUAGAUGGCAGUAUUUUCCCUCGUAAAAUUGUUUACAGUUAGUUAACAAUGUUACUCCCUUUAUUGAUUAAUUUGUUUUUGUUUUUAUUCAAUGAUUAAUGACAAUUGUUAAAAUUUUAAAUUUUAUCUAGAUAAUUGUCUUGUUACAAGUUAAUCUAUUCAUUGUAUCAUGUUCAUGUUUCCCAACAGUCUUUAUUUUUUACGCAAUCAAAAUUGUUAAAGGGUCUACAAGUCUGUUGUAUUGUAUUCAAGUCUAAACAGUUUUUGUGUUACCCUUAGCUAUUCAUGAUCAAUGUUUUCAUUUUUAAUUAAUCUUGAGUAAGUUGUAACACAUUAACUAAAUUAUUUCUAUAUUCAUCACAGCUACAGGAUUGACAAGAAAUAAAGGUUGCUGAUAUUGAUUACCUUACAAGACAUGAGUUUUUCACCGGUAUAAGGCAUCUCAGAUGGUUCUUCAACACUGGCAUAGUUGUCUAAAGCAACCGCAGCCCAAGGGGUUGAUCUUGAUCGAUUUGAAACCUGGGAAACUGGAGGUGCCAAUAGAGACGCCACAGCUCGCAGACCAGAUAUAAUAUGAGGUGGAAGAGUUGGAUCGUUUAACAUUUCAGUUACCAAGCCAUGUGCUUCAAUAAUAAGGGCAACAUCCACUGAAGAUCGAGAUGAUUGCGGCUGUUUAUGACCAAAAAGAGAAGAAAAUAAUUCAAUAAAUUUCAUUUUCCAAGGAGAUUCAAUUUAAUGUCAGCUUGUAAACCUCAAAGAAACAUCUAAAACCCAAAACAUGGAUUCUCACAUGAAUGUGACAUUGACCAAGGCUUGCCAGAUUUAAACCAGUGUCACCCAAAAAAAAAUAGAAUUAUCAAAGUGAGAUGAAAUCUGAUAAAAUGUGAUCCAACUUUUAUAACAACAAAACCAGUAUGACAUUUAAUCAAAUUUAUCAUCUGAUAUUAUCAAAAGCAAGUGGUUUAAAUCAAGAACUUUAGGAUUAGAUUAAUCAAGAUGAUCUUCAAAUACAACAUGGAGAGGGUGAUAAUGAUAACGAUGCAUAUAUACAAUGGUUACUUGGAGGGAAAAGAUGCAACAGGAAUAACAAGGAAAGGCCAACUUAACCAUGGACUCAUUAAUUUUGACUUUUGAUCCAAACCAAGACUAGUUGGUCAAAGUUGGAAUAUUUAUAAAGCAAAAUUUGGGAAAAAAUCAAGAAGCGAAUCUUUGUGCCUCUCUGUAUUUCCUUUAUUACCAUCAAUACAAAUCAAGAGAAACUCGAGAUUCAGGAAAAUGGCAGAGAAUAAAUGAAUGAAUUUUGUUAAACUCAAUACCAAUACAAGAAAGCUGUAAAAAGCAAGUAUAUUUUCAACUAAAGAAAUACCACCACAAGCCAAUGAAAAACAUAUGAUCCUGGAAAGCUUCGCUUCAAUUGGAUUACUAUCAAAAUCAACUUUACUUCUUCAACACUCAGUUAAUCUCGAGUAAUUCAAAAUUUGCCAUCAAAUGUUAAUAAUGUCCACCGAUAAUGGAUUUGUUAGGGUCAAUAUUUUCUCAAUACUUUCUAGAUUAACGAUUAGUCGCAAGGAAAUGAUUAUUGAUACGAUCAAUCGAUAAUUGACUCUCAAUCAUCGAUUAUGAAUUAGAUGAGCCAUCGAUAAAGAAAUAGCAACAAAUAGUUAAUCUUAAAUCUCAAGACUUAAUUUUUUGCGUUCAUAAAGGCUAUGAGAAUAUUUCAAUUUAAAAUUUUCCUCUCAUCUAAUUGAGAAAAUAUAAUAUAAACAUGAAAGUAUCUGAAUAUAAAGUAUCUGUCCUAACUAUUGACACAAUUGAAUUUGAUUGUUGAGUGCAAAAAAUUGUGCCAAAGUAAAAGGCAAAAAAUAGACUUAGCAAUCAUAAUUUUCAUAUAAUUUCCUUACUAUUUUUUAUUAUUAUAUUGUUAUUACCAUCAUUAUUAUCAUUUUCACGCAAAUAUUAUUGAAUUACUUUACCUUCCCUGUCUGCACUCUUUUCACAGUGAAAAAAACACAUUU